CCUACGGGAGGCAGCAGUGGGGAAUAUUGGGCAAUGGGCGCAAGCCUGACCCAGCAACGCCGCGUGAAGGAAGAAGGCUUUCGGGUUGUAAACUUCUUUUGACAGGGAAGAGUAGAAGACGGUACCUGUCGAAUAAGCCACGGCUAACUACGUGCCAGCAGCCGCGGUAAUACGUAGGUGGCAAGCGUUGUCCGGAUUUACUGGGUGGAAAGGGCGUGUAGCCGGGUUGACAAGUCAGAUGUGAAAUCCUGCGGCUUAACCGCAGAACUGCAGUUGAAACUGUUGAUCUUGAGGACUGGAGAGGCAGACGGAAGUCCUAGGGUAGCGGUGAAAUGCGGAGAGAUUAGGAGGAACACCAGGGGCGAAGGCGGUCUUGUGGACAGCAACUGACGGGGAGGCGCGAAAGCGGUGGGAGCAAACAGGAUUAGAUACCCCGGUAGUC
This 442-nucleotide ribosomal RNA is filed under the name uncultured bacterium. Its description in RNAcentral is "partial 16S ribosomal RNA". It matches the Rfam family "Bacterial small subunit ribosomal RNA", at positions 338 to 795 of the family's 1533-position model. The record is from RNAcentral.